CUCAUAUAUCAGAUGUUGCGCCUUGCUUUUGUGAUCAAAACUGUAGAGACAGUCUGGUUAGUACACCACCUCCGAAAUUUGAUCAGGCAGUGUUUCAGGGAAGUCAUGGUGCCAUUGUUAGUUAUAGCCGACCUCCUAGUAUUCGAUAUAAGCGAGAAAUUUACUUAACAUUCACCGAUCUGCUGGUCUACAUUGGUGGAACUGCUGGAUUUUUUAUUGGUUUCAAUGUUCUGG
Molecule: long non-coding RNA, 234 nt
Organism: Stomoxys calcitrans (stable fly)
Lineage: Eukaryota; Metazoa; Arthropoda; Insecta; Diptera; Muscidae
Exons: 3
Source: RefSeq, a predicted model, not a curated record